Molecule: ribosomal RNA, 422 nt
Filed under: uncultured bacterium
Lineage: Bacteria
Description: partial 16S ribosomal RNA
Rfam family: Bacterial small subunit ribosomal RNA
Source: RNAcentral
AAUACUUGACAAUGGGCGUAAGCCUGAUCCAUCCAUGCCUCGUGCGUUAACAAGUUCUCCGGAUUGUAAAGUACUUUAAUUUGGGAGGAAGGGCUGUACGUUAAUACCUUGCUGUUUUGACGUUACCGACAGCAUUGUCACCGGCUAGCUUGCUGCCAGCAGCCGCGGUAACACGAAGGGUGCAAGCGUUAAUCGGAAUCACUAGGCGUAAAGCGCACGUAGGUGGUUUGUUAAGUUGGAAGUGAAAGCCCCGGGCUCAACCUAGGAACUGCUUUCAAAACUGGCAAGCUAGAGUAUGGCAGAGGGUGAUGGAAUUUCCUGUGUAGCGAUGAAAUGCGUAGAUAUAAGAAGGAACACCAGUGGCGAAGGCGACCACCUGGGCUAAUACUGACACUGAAAUGCGAAAGCGUGGGGAGCAAACA